Molecule: ribosomal RNA, 222 nt
Filed under: uncultured bacterium
Lineage: Bacteria
Description: partial 16S ribosomal RNA
Rfam family: Bacterial small subunit ribosomal RNA
Source: RNAcentral
GCAAGUCGAGCGCUCACCUUCGGGUGGGAGCGGCGGACGGGUUAGUAACGCGUGGGAAUAUACCCUUCUCUACGGAAUAGCCUCGGGAAACUGAGAGUAAUACCGUAUACGCCCUUCGGGGGAAAGAUUUAUCGGAGAAGGAUUAGCCCGCGUUUGAUUAGAUAGUUGGUGGGGUAAUGGCCUACCAAGUCUACGAUCUAUAGCUGGUUUUAGAGGACGAUC